Molecule: ribosomal RNA, 843 nt
Filed under: uncultured marine group I thaumarchaeote
Lineage: Archaea; Thermoproteati; Nitrososphaerota
Description: SSU rRNA
Rfam family: Archaeal small subunit ribosomal RNA
Source: RNAcentral
CCUGCCGGACCUGACUGCUAUCGGAUUGAUACUAAGCCAUGCGAGUCUUUGUAGUAAUACAAGGCAUACGGCUCAGUAACACGUAGUCAACCUACCCUAUGGACAAGAAUAAUCUCGGGAAACUGGGCAUAAUUCUUGAUAGAUCAUAAUGCCUGGAAUGGUUUAUGGUUAAAAUGAUUCGUCGCCAUAGGAUGGGACUGCGGCCUAUCAGCUUGUUGGUGAGGUAAUGGCCCACCAAGGCGAUUACAGGUACGGGCUCUGAGAGGAGAAGCCCGGAGAUGGGUACUGAGACACGGACCCAGGCCCUAUGGGGCGCAGCAGGCGAGAAAACUUUGCAAUGUGCGAAAGCACGACAAGGUUAAUCCGAGUGAUUUCUGCUAAAGAAAUCUUUUGCCAGUCAUAAAACCACUGGUGAAUAAGGGGUGGGCAAGUUCUGGUGUCAGCCGCCGCGGUAAAACCAGCACCUCAAGUGGUCAGGAUGAUUAUUGGGCCUAAAGCAUCCGUAGCCGGCUUUGUAAGUUUUCGGUUAAAUCCAUGUGCUCAACGCAUGGGCUGCCGAAAAUACUGCAUGGCUAGGGAGUGGGAGAGGUAGACGGUACUCAGUAGGAAGGGGUAAAAUCCUUUGAUCUAUUGAUGACCACCUGUGGCGAAGGCGGUCUACCAGAACACGUUCGACGGUGAGGGAUGAAAGCUGGGGGAGCAAACCGGAUUAGAUACCCGGGUAGUCCCAGCUGUAAACGAUGCAGACUCGAUGAUGCAUUGGCAUAAUAGCCAGUGCAGUGUCGCAGGGAAGCCGUUAAGUCUGCCGCCUGGGAAGUACGUACGCAAGUAUGAAACUUAAAG